AAGAAUGCGAUAUGCAAUGUGAAUUGCAGAACCACGAAUCAUCGGAUAUUUGAACGUAACUGACGCUAAUUUAGCAUACUUGUUUCAGUGUGCUCAAACAAAUAAUCACAAUCUAAAUGUGGGAGAAUCUCUCCCAUGAAAUAAAUGCUCCUUGCAGCAGUCACAUUCAUUUGUGAGCUACUAGGAAUACUAACUACUUUAUAUGCACCUGAAAUCAAGUAAGAUGACCCGCUGGACUUAA
Molecule: unclassified non-coding RNA, 241 nt
Filed under: uncultured fungus
Lineage: Eukaryota; Fungi
Description: sequence contains ITS1
Rfam family: 5.8S ribosomal RNA (bases 1-93)
Source: RNAcentral